GAUCAGUGGCGAACGGGUGAGUAACACGUGAGGAACCUGCCCCAGACUCUGGAAUAACCCCGGGAAACCGGAGCUAAUACCGGAUAUGACAUCAGACCGCAUGGUCAUGGUGUGGAAAGUUUUCGGUCUGGGAUGGCCUCGCGGCCUAUCAGCUUGUUGGUGAGGUAGUGGCUCACCAAGGCGACGACGGGUAGCCGGCCUGAGAGGGCGACCGGCCACACUGGGACUGAGACACGGCCCAG
This 242-nucleotide ribosomal RNA is filed under the name uncultured bacterium. Its description in RNAcentral is "partial 16S ribosomal RNA". It matches the Rfam family "Bacterial small subunit ribosomal RNA", at positions 90 to 334 of the family's 1533-position model. The record is from RNAcentral.